UGCUUCUACGGGGCCAUAACAUUAGCUACAAGGAGGAGUCUGUUUCUAUGCCAUGUGGAAUUUCUUACUGGAAUGGUUUUAGAAAGACUUUGAAAACUCGGGUCAGAUCUUUUUUCUAACUAAUCUAUUUUUCUUUCUAACUAAUCUAUCUUUCUUUCUGUCUAAAUAAUCGU
This is a non-coding RNA of Pimephales promelas (fathead minnow), 173 nucleotides long. NCBI's taxonomy places the organism in Eukaryota, Metazoa, Chordata, Actinopteri, Cypriniformes, Leuciscidae. The record is from RefSeq and is a predicted model, not a curated record.